CUGUGGAAUGUAAACCCCUUUUCUCAAGGAAGAAGUUCUGACGGUACCUGAGGAAUCAGCAUCGGCUAACUCCGUGCCAGCAGCCGCGGUAAGACGGAGGAUGCAAGCGUUAUCCGGAAUUAUUGGGCGUAAAGCGUCCGUAGGCGGUUCAUCAAGUCUGCCGUUAAAGACUGCAGCUUAACUGUGGGCGAGCGGUGGAAACUGACGAACUGGAGUACGGUAGGGGUAGAGGGAAUUCCCAGUGUAGCGGUGAAAUGCGUAGAUAUUGGGAAGAACACCAGUGGCGAAGGCGCUCUACUGGGCCGUAACUGACGCUGAGGGACGAAAGCUAGGGGAGCGAAAGGGAUUAGAUACCCCUGUAGUCCUAGCUGUAAACGAUGGAUACUAGGUGUUGCGCGUAUCGACCCGUGCAGUACCGCAGCCAACGCGAUAAGUAUCCCUCCUGGGGAGUACGCACGCAAGUGUGAAACUCAAACGAAUUGACGGGGGCCCGCACAAACGGUGGAGUAUGUGGUUUAAUUCGAUGCAACGCGAAGAACCUUACCAGGGCUUGACAUCCCUCGAAUCCUCUUGAAAGAGAGGAGUGCCUUCGGGAGCGAGGAGACAGGUGGUGCAUGGCUGUCGUCAGCUCGUGUCGUGAGAUGUUGGGUUAAGUCCCGCAACGAGCGCAACCCACGUCCUUAGUUGCCAUCAUUCAGUUGGGCACUCUGGGGAGACUGCCGGGGACAACUCGGAGGAAGGUGUGGAUGACGUCAAGUCAUCAUGCCCCUUACGUUCUGGGCUACACACGUACUACAAUGCUUCGGACAAAGGGCAGCGAGCGCGCGAGCGUGAGCAAAUCUCAUAAACCGAGGCACAGUUCAGAUUGCAGGCUGCAACUCGCCU
RNAcentral lists this ribosomal RNA (885 nucleotides) under Geitlerinema sp. B-33. Its description in RNAcentral is "bacterial SSU rRNA". It matches the Rfam family "Bacterial small subunit ribosomal RNA", at positions 416 to 1317 of the family's 1533-position model. The record is from RNAcentral. Lineage: Bacteria; Bacillati; Cyanobacteriota; Cyanophyceae; Geitlerinematales; Geitlerinemataceae.